This is a long non-coding RNA of Scatophagus argus, 1920 nucleotides long. RefSeq lists it as uncharacterized. The transcript has 2 exons. The record is from RefSeq and is a predicted model, not a curated record. NCBI's taxonomy places the organism in Eukaryota, Metazoa, Chordata, Actinopteri, Scatophagidae.
GAAACGCAUGAGAGUGUCGCGCCAGACGCAGCAGCACCAGCUGUGCCUCUGGGAUGUCACCUUGGUGUUAGCCGCCGCCAGGUAGGCACGACAUACAGCCGUUACCGCAGAGCCUCCAUCCAAGGCAUAACCCGACAGCUCAGGUCCAGACUGCAGCCUGCAGCUGCACAAGUGUUUGUCAGCCAGUGCGUCACCAUCACCACGGUGAUCAGGACUGUAUCCCGUGGAGGCUCCGGUGCGAGCUCGGCUUCGGGACUGGAGUCUGCUCACCGUUACAGCUACCACCAGCCUGCUCCGUUUGAAGUCCAUGAGGGCGGAUUCACACUCUCUCACAACCGGAUCUGUGACUGCCAAGGAAGUCCCGUCUCACCACCACAGCAGGGCGUGCACCCACAGUCUCAGAUACCUCGAGGGUCCUACUGAAGGUAGGAGGAAGAGGAGUGCUGCUGAUUCUCCGUGAUAGAAGCCAAGAGGAAAUAACUGGAAGGAGUAAUGGGAUGUCUUUCGAUUCCGGUCCAAAAAACAGUCGGCUGUAGCAGCAGUGGGAGCACCGAUGAGGUCGGUCAGAUCGGGGGAGAGCCGGGACCACAAACUCAAGAUGAGCCCGGUCGGCUCCCGCGGUCCCGGCGGCGGACUGGCCGACCGUCGGCGCAGUGUUGUCGGGCAGAGCCGACAGGAAGAAGCGCUCGUCCUUGAAGCAAGCACAGGACCGUGCAGCUGGACAACUCAGAGCGAAGCAUUCAUCGCGCCGACCUGUCCAUCCAACCGACAGGUGAAGAUGUGUUUUUUUUGUUUGUUUGUUUGUUUUGUCUUUACAGAACCGGAGGAUGAAGAUGAAGAGGCAGCUGUGUAAGGGGAGCUGCGGGUCGUGCGGCGUCAGCUCAACAUAUGACGGACUGAAGAGGACCAAGUGAAACACCAAAACGCAAAGAGGAUGACGAAGACGGCGGUGUGAGAUGUGAUUAACUGAACGUGUUACGUUGCGGUUUUACAAACCUUUGUGGGCGCGCGAGCACACACACACACACACACAGUUUACACACAAUGGCUUGAGAUGCAACGCUGGCCGUUUGGCAUGACAUCAGUCAUUUGAUCAAAGCCUAAAUAUUAUGUCGUCAGACAGGAUAUCCUAAACUUCUUAUACUUUAUUGUUUAUUUAAGGGGCAUAGUGGAGAGAGGACAGUUAGACGGGGCCUCACGGAGAUAAAUCAUCACGUGAAUAUAAGCGUUCGGAGAUCCUGGCUGACACUUCCAGAUGAAGACGUGCUCAUUUUUGAUUAUGAAGAUAAAAGCCAGACAUUUUUAAUGCGGACUCUUGCGCUGGGCUGAGGUGUGUCGGCCGAGAAGGAGGAGGAGACGGCUUCAGAAGAACAUUUUAGGCUUCAUAUACUGGUGGGUGGGACACUGACCUGUUGUUUUGACGGCUUUUCUGAUUCCCUUUCUUGUGUUCCAGCACCUCCAUACACCGUCUUUCCCAAUAUAAAUCCAAAGCGCUUUGUACUUAACCUCAUUAAAUUAUAUUUGACUUUCAUCUCCCAUCCAGACAACGUGGACUCAGUCCGCCUGUCUUCAUCUAAUGGUGAGUGUGUGCCUUUUUUUUCUGUGCAUCAGACAGGAGGUUGUUGAGUAAAAGGCCACUGAUUGUUUACAGUAUGAUGGCUGCCGAUUUGCAGUGGUGGCUAUUUAUUAUUCAUUCACUCAUGUCUGAAAGACGUGAAGGAAGCAGGGCUGUAGCCAGAAAGGUCACAGUGCACCAUUGUUUAAUUAUUUGGAUUUUUCACAUUUUAUGUCUUAAAUCGACAUUUUAGUUUCUGUGAAUUUUACUUCCCAACAUGUAAAUAGUUUCAAAGCCUUCUUAAAAUUCUGGACUAGUCUUCUAUUAGCCUCAUACAUAAAAAUAUGAGAGAAUUGAUUGAUAUA